Long non-coding RNA from Ceratina calcarata, 1229 nucleotides. RefSeq lists it as uncharacterized. The record is from RefSeq and is a predicted model, not a curated record. NCBI's taxonomy places the organism in Eukaryota, Metazoa, Arthropoda, Insecta, Hymenoptera, Apidae. The transcript has 2 exons.
GUAAUAAUAACAAAAAUAAACAAUUUCCCAGUUUGAAUAGAGGAAUUAAUAAUUCUCUAAUUGUUUGAUCUGGUUUCAGAUUGAUGACGAUGAAUCAUCGCACGCAAAUUCCGCUGAAAAGACCCUGCCAGCUGGUGUGUGGAAGGAAAUCAAGUAAAUAAGUAUCAUCGUUCCGUCCUCCCACCGAUGAUGUUAGACAGAGGGUGUCCAACGCGGAAGCACCGUCUAACAUUCCAAGCCAGCUAAUAAUCAGCGCGGCCGUUACUCUGGGUAACGAGGGGUCGGAGGCGCAGUUUCCCACUCAAAAUGAAAAACCCGAACGCGACCCGAGCGCAGAAGGGGGAGGAUGGGUGACGCUUGCAUGCACCGGGUGCUUUCGACGGCGUGGUGGGGAAACCUCGUGCCCGAUGCCGCCACGCACACCUCUACCCCAACAAGUCUAGCCUUAAUAGUCAUCCACUGGAAGCCGAAGACAGUAGUAGCUUCGUGCCAGGAACAAAGUAUCAUCUCUGCUUCCAACCAGCUUUCGUUUGUUCUUCAACAAUUUGUCUCGUGGAUAUUGUUCGAACCGAACUGACAUUCGAGUGGUGUACAGUGCGAGAAGAAUAGUGAUACGCUUGUGUGAUCUUGUGAUCAGUGGGACGACUGACAGUCGGCUGCCUUCGAUCGGACCUCAUCGGCUCGUCCUAAUUGAAAUAGCGCCGGUUCGAUCGAAGUGCAGCCGCGCUUGAACUGGACACAACUGAACCUUUUUUCGAAUCGAGCGGCGCGAAGGUAGUGCAAAUAUUACGGAUUUUAAAAAUAAAUUCUGGGUGCUGUUGUACAGUUUAUGUUUAUGUUCAAUCCAAGUGACAGAGGCGCCGGUGGAAAUAUACAGUGCAGCUUUUCUUUGUCGUCCAAGUUCCAUAAUACACGUUCUCUCAUUGUUAGCUUAAUUAUUUAUUGUUAUGUAAAACAUUUGUAUUUUUUUGUAAUGCGACUUAUUGUUAAAUCUGUAUUUCUACUUAAGGUACGAGACUCGGGUAUCAUAUUCGCGUGGGAUAACAAUGAUCGCUGGAUUUUUUUAGGGAAUGAUUCAUCUAUAGCCAGGCAACAGAAUCAUUGUUUAUUGCAUCGAGUCUCGUACCCUUGGACACAAUGAUACACGCUAGACUCGACUGGGUGACGCACGAAAUUUAUUCGAUUGGAGUGGUCAUGUACAAAAAUAAAAAUAAAGUCAUUUAGUGAGA